UGCCGGCCGAGACAGCACAGACAGACCGACCGACUGGGGUGUUUCGCAAUUGUGAGAGGCGGGUAACCGCGCUGCGCUCCUGUGCUGCGGCCGGUGGCUUCACUGCCUGCGACGCCCUGCCUGUGCUGCCCGACUGGCUGGCAAGAUGAAGCUCUCCCUGGUGGCGGCGAUGCUGCUG
This is a regulatory RNA element of Pan troglodytes (chimpanzee), 178 nucleotides long. It matches the Rfam family "bip internal ribosome entry site (IRES)". From Rfam's summary of the family: This family represents the bip internal ribosome entry site (IRES). BiP protein expression has been found to be significantly enhanced by the heat shock response due to IRES-dependent translation. Lineage: Eukaryota; Metazoa; Chordata; Mammalia; Primates; Hominidae. The record is from Rfam.